RNAcentral lists this ribosomal RNA (492 nucleotides) under uncultured bacterium. RNAcentral's name for it is "partial 16S ribosomal RNA". It matches the Rfam family "Bacterial small subunit ribosomal RNA", at positions 29 to 507 of the family's 1533-position model. The record is from RNAcentral.
AGUGAACGCUGGCGGUAGGCCUAACACAUGCAAGUCGAACGGCAGCACAGUAAGAGCUUGCUCUUACGGGUGGCGAGUGGCGGACGGGUGAGGAAUACAUCGGAAUCUACUUUUUCGUGGGGGAUAACGUAGGGAAACUUACGCUAAUACCGCAUACGACCUACGGGUGAAAGCAGGGGAUCUUCGGACCUUGCGCGAUUGAAUGAGCCGAUGUCGGAUUAGCUAGUUGGCGGGGUAAAGGCCCACCAAGGCGACGAUCCGUAGCUGGUCUGAGAGGAUGAUCAGCCACACUGGAACUGAGACACGGUCCAGACUCCUACGGGAGGCAGCAGUGGGGAAUAUUGGACAAUGGGCGCAAGCCUGAUCCAGCCAUACCGCGUGGGUGAAGAAGGCCUUCGGGUUGUAAAGUCCUUUUGUUGGGAAAGAAAAGCAGCAGGUUAAUACCCCGCUGUUCUGACGGUGCCCAAAGAAUAAGCACCGGCUAACUUCGUG